RNAcentral lists this ribosomal RNA (500 nucleotides) under uncultured bacterium. Its description in RNAcentral is "partial 16S ribosomal RNA". It matches the Rfam family "Bacterial small subunit ribosomal RNA", at positions 30 to 523 of the family's 1533-position model. The record is from RNAcentral.
AUUGAACGCUGGUGGCAUGCUUUACACAUGCAAGUCGAACGGUAACAGGGUGCUUGCACCGCUGACGAGUGGCGAACGGGUGAGUAAUGCGUCGGAACGUGCCGAGUAGUGGGGGAUAACGCAGCGAAAGUUGUGCUAAUACCGCAUACGUACUGAGGUAGAAAGUGGGGGACCUUCGGGCCUUACGCUAUUCGAGCGGCCGACGUCUGAUUAGCUAGUAGGUGAGGUAAAGGCUCACCUAGGCGACGAUCAGUAGCGGGUCUGAGAGGAUGAUCCGCCACACUGGGACUGAGACACGGCCCAGGCUCCUACGGGAGGCAGCAGUGGGGAAUUUUGGACAAUGGGGGCAACCCUGAUCCAGCCAUGCCGCGUGAGUGAAGAAGGCCUUCGGGUUGUAAAGCUCUUUCGGCCGGGAAGAAAUCGCAUGGGCUAAUACCCUGUGUGGAUGACGGUACCGGAAUAAGAAGCACCGGCUAACUACGUGCCAGCCGCCGCAGUAA